GUGCCAGCCGCCGCGGUAAAACGUAGGAGGCAAGCGUUAUCCGGAUUUACUGGGUGUAAAGCGCGUGCAGGCGGUCAUGCAAGUCGCGUGUGAAAGCGCCCGGCUCAACCGGGCGAGGCCGCGCGAAACUGCGUUGACUGGAGGCCGGUAGAGGCGUGUGGAAUUCCGGGUGUAGUGGUGAAAUGCGUAGAGAUCCGGAGGAACACCAGUGGCGAAGGCGACACGCUGGACCGAGCCUGACGCUCAGACGCGACAGCAUGGGGAGCGAACGGGAUUAGAUACCCGGGUAGUCC
This 293-nucleotide ribosomal RNA is filed under the name uncultured bacterium. RNAcentral describes it as "partial 16S ribosomal RNA". It matches the Rfam family "Bacterial small subunit ribosomal RNA", at positions 505 to 796 of the family's 1533-position model. The record is from RNAcentral.